ACAAGUCUCGAUUAAGAUGUUCUUUUAAUCUUGAAACUUCAUCUUUUUCUUAUAAAAUGUUAGUUGUUGAAUGUGGUUUGACAUUAACAUUUUUCAUUAGUCACCCUAUAAAACUAAAAAAAAUAUCAAAAUAAAUUAAAAGUAGUUAGUCAUUAGUUUUGUAUGAAUAUCUACACUAUAUUAGUUUUAUAAAAUCUAUUUAUAUCUAUU
Molecule: long non-coding RNA, 210 nt
Filed under: Lathyrus oleraceus (garden pea)
Lineage: Eukaryota; Viridiplantae; Streptophyta; Magnoliopsida; Fabales; Fabaceae
Description: Pisum sativum (pea) long non-coding RNA (PSAT_LNC032071)
Source: RNAcentral